UUAACUCGAAUUUGUAUGGAGUUGGAACGUUUGCCUACGUUUGCCGCUAGGGGCGCUAUUCCAACUGCAUACAAAUUUCAGGUA
Molecule: microRNA precursor, 84 nt
Filed under: Bombyx mori (domestic silkworm)
Lineage: Eukaryota; Metazoa; Arthropoda; Insecta; Lepidoptera; Bombycidae
Description: mir-2807 microRNA precursor family
Rfam family: mir-2807 microRNA precursor family
Source: Rfam by way of RNAcentral